GCUGGGUCUGGCUGUAGCUGGCUAUGGCUCUUAGCCUAUAAACUCCUACGAAUUUAAUCUCUCGGUAAUAAUCGCCACUUUAUAUAGUAUCUUUUAAUACAAUUAAACAAUAAAGUGCAGUAUAUUUUGCGUUUUUAUUGUAACAGGUUGUUUAUAAUGUUAUUCAAAAUAACUGGCCUUCAACGACAAGUGCUUAUUUCGUCAUGUUUAUAUAUUUCACAAGCAUUAGGUGGUUACGCUAGUGCAUGGUCUGGGCCGGUGAUACCUAAACUGCGUGAUCUGAAACAGUCGCCGCUUCCGUAUUUGCUGACUGAAACACAGUUGUCUUUAGUUGCAACCCUACUGUAUCUGGGUGCUAUAGUAGGACCAUAUAUAGUGUUGUGGCUAUCAAAUGUAAAAGGUCGGAAGCCUUGUCUUAUAUUGAGUGGAGUCUUAAUAGGUGUUGGAUAUAUAAUUUUGGCAGCUGCUAGAAGCAUAUCAGUACUAUUUCUCGGCAGAUUCCUAUCAGGAAUGGGAAUUGGUGGGGUUGGUGUAAUGAAUGUCGUGUAUAUUGGUGAAAUUG
Bicyclus anynana (squinting bush brown) is the source of this 562-nucleotide RNA transcript. RefSeq lists it as uncharacterized. NCBI's taxonomy places the organism in Eukaryota, Metazoa, Arthropoda, Insecta, Lepidoptera, Nymphalidae. The transcript is spliced from 3 exons. The record is from RefSeq and is a predicted model, not a curated record.